This 380-nucleotide long non-coding RNA is filed under the name Columba livia (rock pigeon). RNAcentral's name for it is "partial uncharacterized LOC102083478". Lineage: Eukaryota; Metazoa; Chordata; Aves; Columbiformes; Columbidae. The record is from RNAcentral.
AUGGUCGUUGAAGAGUGAUUAAGAUUAUGCUGAGUCUAGGAAUCAGGUGCUAUGGAAAAUAAUGCUGAGAAGACGACUGGCAUGCUGGGCUGCAAAUCAUUUGGAAAAGCACACGAGCACCACCACUGCGUUUAGCCAAUCGAACUGAACGCUGAAAUAGAAGCUCUGACAGACAACACAUCUGGAAGAAGAGCACGUCUCUACCUUUCUAUGUGUAGACCGUCAACAGUAAAGUACUGGAGACUAUGAAACUGCAGUUUGUUGCUGCAAAUUUAUUAUCCCACCUCCAACAGGACUUCGAUUCCGUAAAGUAAUGACUGGUGUGAAAAAUGCAGUUGUGAUUCGUGCUAAGAUGUUUAAUGUUUACAGGUAUAACCAAA